GACGAACGCUGGCGGCGUGCUUAACACAUGCAAGUCGAACGGAAAGGCCCUGCUUUUGUGGGGUGCUCGAGUGGCGAACGGGUGAGUAACACGUGAGUAACCUGCCCUUGACUUUGGGAUAACUUCAGGAAACUGGGGCUAAUACCGGAUAGGAGCUCCUGCUGCAUGGUGGGGGUUGGAAAGUUUCGGCGGUUGGGGAUGGACUCGCGGCUUAUCAGCUUGUUGGUGGGGUAGUGGCUUACCAAGGCUUUGACGGGUAGCCGGCCUGAGAGGGUGACCGGCCACAUUGGGACUGAGAUACGGCCCAGACUCCUACGGGAGGCAGCAGUGGGGAAUAUUGCAUAAUGGGCGGAAGCCUGAUGCAGCAACGCCGCGUGCGGGAUGACGGCCUUCGGGUUGUAAACCGCUUUCGCCUGUGACGAAGCGUGGGUGACGGUAAUGGGUAAAGAAGCACCGGCUAACUACGUG
Molecule: ribosomal RNA, 468 nt
Filed under: uncultured bacterium
Lineage: Bacteria
Description: partial 16S ribosomal RNA
Rfam family: Bacterial small subunit ribosomal RNA
Source: RNAcentral